CAGCCGCCGCGGUAAAACCAGCACCUCAAGUGGUCAGGAUGAUUAUUGGGCCUAAAGCAUCCGUAGCUCGUUUUGUAAGUUUUCGGUUAAAUCCAUACGCUUAACGUUUGGGCUGCCGGGAAUACUGCAUAACUAGGAAGUGGGAGAGGUAGACGGUACUCGGUAGGAAGGGGUAAAAUCCUUUGAUCUAUUGAUGACCACCUGUGGCGAAGGCGGUCUACCAGAACACGUUCGACGGUGAGGGAUGAAAGCUGGGGGAGCAAACCGGAUUAGAUACCCGGGUAGUCCCAGCUGUAAACUAUGCAAACUCAGUGAUGCAUUGGCUUGUGGCCAAUGCAGUGCUGCAGGGAAGCCGUUAAGUUUGCCGCCUGGGAAGUACGUACGCAAGUAUGAAACUUAAAGGAAUUGGCGGGGGAGCAC
This 420-nucleotide ribosomal RNA is filed under the name uncultured Nitrososphaerota archaeon. RNAcentral's name for it is "bacterial SSU rRNA". It matches the Rfam family "Archaeal small subunit ribosomal RNA", at positions 459 to 879 of the family's 1478-position model. The record is from RNAcentral. Lineage: Archaea; Thermoproteati; Nitrososphaerota.